This 2618-nucleotide ribosomal RNA is filed under the name Megalithone tillyardi. Its description in RNAcentral is "SSU rRNA". It matches the Rfam family "Eukaryotic small subunit ribosomal RNA". Lineage: Eukaryota; Metazoa; Arthropoda; Insecta; Neuroptera; Ithonidae. The record is from RNAcentral.
AGAUUAAGCAUGCAUGUCUCAGUACAAGCCAUAUUAAGGUGAAACCGCGAAAGGCUCAUUAUAUCAGUUAUGGUUCCUUAGAUCGUACACACAUUUACUUGGAUAACUGUGGUAAUUCUAGAGCUAAUACAUGCAAACAGAGUUCCAACCAGAGAUGGAAGGAAUGCUUUUAUUAGAUCAAAACCAAUCGAUGGUAGCCAUGCCAGAUUAUGUUUAUUUAUAUUUAUAUAUUUGGUGUUUUUUGGUUAUUAUCGUUUAAUUUGGUGACUCUGAAUAACUUUAAGCUGAUCGUACGGUCUUGUACCGACGACGCAUCUUUCAAAUGUCUGCCUUAUCAACUGUCGAUGGUAGGUUCUGCGCCUACCAUGGUUGUAACGGGUAACGGGGAAUCAGGGUUCGAUUCCGGAGAGGGAGCCUGAGAAACGGCUACCACAUCCAAGGAAGGCAGCAGGCGCGCAAAUUACCCACUCCCGGCACGGGGAGGUAGUGACGAAAAAUAACGAUACGGGACUCAUCCGAGGCCCCGUAAUCGGAAUGAGUACACUUUAAAUCCUUUAACGAGGAUCCAUUGGAGGGCAAGUCUGGUGCCAGCAGCCGCGGUAAUUCCAGCUCCAAUAGCGUAUAUUAAAGUUGUUGCGGUUAAAAAGCUCGUAGUCGAAUCUGUGUCCCACACUGUCGGUUCACCGCUCGCGGUGUUUAACUGGCAUGUUAUGUGGGACGUCCUACCGGUGGGUGGUGUAAAUUUAUUCCUAAUAUAUAUUAUCUUAAAUAAUAUUCAUAUGUAUAUAUAUUAAACGUGUACGAUUUGUUGUUUGUGUGUGUGUGUGUAUUUAAGUUGUUUGUGUUGUCUUUUGUUGUUUUUAUUGUUAUUAUAUAUAUCAUCUCUUAUAUAUGUUUGUUGUUGUUGUUGUUUGUUGUUUGGUUUGUGUUCCACACGGCUAGCAGUGAGCGCAGCAUCCACAACUAUAUAUGUAUAUGUAUAUAUGUAUAACAGUUGCAACUUGAGAUGCACACAACGUGCGCACAUAUACCAUGCAAAUUCGUUGCGUUGUUGUAUAUGUGUGAUAUUUAUGUAUAUAUAUAUAUUUAUGUGGAUAAUUUACCGUAAGUGUUUAGCCGUGAAGAACGGCGGCAACCCCCAAUUGCAAUCCCGUCGCGGUGCUCUUAAUUGAGUGUCGAGGUGGGCCGGUACGUUUACUUUGAACAAAUUAGAGUGCUUAAGGCAGGCUAAAAUUUCGCCUGAAUAUUGUGUGCAUGGAAUAAUGGAAUAGGACCUCGGUUCUAUUUUGUUGGUUUUCGGAACUCCGAGGUAAUGAUUAAUACGGACAGAUGGGGGCAUUCGUAUUGCGACGUUAGAGGUGAAAUUCUUGGAUCGUCGCAAGACGGACAGAAGCGAAAGCAUUUGCCAAAAAUGUUUUGAUUGAUCAAGAACGAAAGUUAGAGGUUCGAAGGCGAUCAGAUACCGCCCUAGUUCUAACCAUAAACGAUGCCAGCUAGCGAUCCGCCGAAGUUCCUCCGAUGACUCGGCGGGCAGCUUCCGGGAAACCAAAGCUUUUGGGUUCCGGGGGAAGUAUGGUUGCAAAGCUGAAACUUAAAGGAAUUGACGGAAGGGCACCACCAGGAGUGGAGCCUGCGGCUUAAUUUGACUCAACACGGGAAACCUCACCAGGCCCGGACACCGGAAGGAUUGACAGAUUGAGAGCUCUUUCUUGAUUCGGUGGGUGGUGGUGCAUGGCCGUUCUUAGUUGGUGGAGCGAUUUGUCUGGUUAAUUCCGAUAACGAACGAGACUCUAGCCUGCUAAAUAGACGUACUUUACCGGCAUCUCAAGGCCCACCGGCUGCUAGUUUUCCAUUAUGUUGUUUACAUGUUUUUUUCAAUUUCUUCUUAUUUUCAAUAUUUUAACACACUAUUUUAUAUAUAUUAUAUAUAUUUAUAUUAUUGUUAUAUUAUAUUAUGUAUGUGUGUGUGUGUGUGUGUGUGUUUGUCUAUUUUAUAUAUAUGGGGUAUAUUAUUUUUAUAUACAUACCAUACACAUUUAAGUUUAUUUUGUGUGCUGUGUUGUGUGUAUAAUUAAUUACCCCCUCUAUAUAUUUAUAGAUAUAUAUAUAUAUAUAUACACAUAUAUAUGCAUGUGUAUAUAAUGGUGGUGGUGUGUGUGGUGUAUGUUUUUGUGUUUUAUAUGUUGUUAUGAUGGAAGAAUGGGAUGGCAUGUUUAACACGUAUGGGCUACAGUUUUUUGGUGUGGUUUUUACUGCCGGCGUACAAAUAAUUCUUCUUAGAGGCAGGCGGCUUGGCCGAACGAGCUACACUGAAGGAAUCAGCGUGUCCUCCCUGGCCGAAAGGUCCGGGUAACCCGCUGAACCUCCUUCGUGUUAGGGAUUGGGGCUUGCAAUUGUUCCCCAUGAACGAGGAAUUCCCAGUAAGCGCGAGUCAUAAGCUCGCGUUGAUUACGUCCCUGCCCUUUGUACACACCGCCCGUCGCUACUACCGAUUGAAUGAUUUAGUGAGGUCUUCGGACUGGUACGCGGUAACGUUUCCGACAUUACCGAUGUUGCUGGGAAGAUGACCAAACUUGAUCAUUUUUGGGAAGUAAAAGUCGUAACAGGGUUCCCGUUAG